RNAcentral lists this long non-coding RNA (1152 nucleotides) under Anas platyrhynchos platyrhynchos (common mallard). RNAcentral describes it as "lncRNA (ENSAPLG00000024268.1)". The record is from RNAcentral. Lineage: Eukaryota; Metazoa; Chordata; Aves; Anseriformes; Anatidae.
UUUCUGUUCUCCCUUACAAACAAAACUUCCACUGAGCACACCUCAACAUCACUCACGAUUUUGUUUGUAUCCUGACAGCUGGAUGAAUAUUGCUGUUUUCCAGGAGUUUUGUAUGAAUGAAACACUGACAUCCCUGCUGGUCAUCCUGGAGGAGAUGUGCUGUCACCUGCAGAAGGUGUUUUCCCUGGUACUGCAGGUAGCAAGCUGCUGGAUUACACAGCUACACUGCCAGUAGUUGGGACCUCUCAGAAGAGAUCCUGAGCUCACACCGAACAUCUUGAGGACACGUGGAGGGAUCCUUGGCAUCCCCGCAUUCCUAGCCCAGAGCCUCGUCUCUAGGGAGCUCAGAGCUGCUGUGCCCCAUGCUCAGGAAAACCAGGCAGGCUGGCCACACAGGCUAUAGAUGUACCACUGGCAAACAAGACUCCUUUUCUUGUAACAGGAGUCAAAAGUUUGGCAACUAGUGGGCAUUGUCCCUAACCCAAGUGAACUGCAAAACCCGAGAAAUUACAGGAGUUUAGUGCUAACUGUUUUCAUUGGUGCAUGGGGAGCAGGUAAGCUCAUGGAAAAGAGCAUCGCUGGGUGGUAAUAGGGACAUGGAAAUCGCCACGAGUCCACAGAGUCCAUUGUGACCCCUCCAUGUCACAACUGGAGGAGGGUGACAGGACUGAGAGGACAAAGACCCGCAUGUGCAUGCUCUGCUCUUAUGAGUCCCAUAUUCUUCCCUAUACUUUCCCUUUUGGGUAGCAUUAGAGGCAGGCUGCUGGCUCAGAUGGACCUUUGGUCUCGUGCAGUACAGCUGACUGAUGUUCUCAAGAGAAUGGCACAGAUAGUAUCCCCCUGUGAUGCUAACUUGAAAAACAAGAAGAAAAAGAAUCCCAUUUGUGGCCAAGCUCAAACCACACAGAAACAGCUCAACAAUAAAUACAUAAUGCAAAGGAUUUCAUUGAAUUUACAAGCAGGAGGCUAAAAAAGACUGUGAGAGAAACAAGAAAGGUAGCUGAACUCUAGGGCAGAUUUUCGACCAUCAGACAAACUCCAAGAGGAGCUACGCAUGCAAAAAAUCCUUCUCUGCUAUCAUUUCCGGGGAGUCCUUUGGGAAGAUCCAGCAUUUUGCAGCCAAAGGCCUAUGAUCAGCAAAGCAUCUGGGCU